CUAACUCACAGGUUUGACACAAGGAAGAUUCUGGGAAGUUGGAGAAGAACAGAACCUGGGAUUGGCAGCGGCCAGGGCUGUUUGUCCUGCCCUUGUCUCCUCUGUCCCCCUUCACCCACUGGCCUCACUCUCUCUUUCUGUAGACAGCCCUCCUCCAGUGGUGGGGAUACAGCCCCUGGCAGCCCAGGCUCAGCCACCCCAACAUCAAGGGAGAAAUUUUUUCAACAGGAAUCUUUCUAAUAGGGAAGGGCUCAGAUGGGCUUGCUCAAGUUAGGUGUCUGCCCCCCGAGGCAAUCCCCAGUGGCAAGGAGAUGACACACUGAGAUAGGCCAGUCCUGGUCACACCCUCUCUCCUAGGGCUGCUGGACAGGAGUUGUCAACAGAGAAGAGUGACAGGAACACUUACUUGGCAGGCACAAAUCACAGGUUGCUGUGCUCCACUAUGCAGAUGAUGACACCCUCAGAUUUUUUCUCUUUAGUAAACUCUUAAAACUAGACAUAUACACAGAAAACUGCAUGAAUUAUGAGUGUGCAGUGUUUAUUCACAAGAGCAAGGACAUAGAAUCAACCCAGGCACCCAUCAAAAGUAGAUUAAAGAAAAUGUGGUGCAUAUACACCAUGGAAUACUACACAGCCAUAAAAAAGAACAAAAUCGUGUCCUUUGCAGUACCAUGGAUAAGGCUGGAGGCUGUUACCUUAAUUGAAUUAACACAGAAACAGAAAACUAAAUACUACGUGUUCUUACUUCAUCCUGAUGGAGAAACAGAACGUCACCAGCAUCCUAGAAACCUUCCUUGGCUUCCUUCCAAUCAUGGCACACCUGUCUUCCAAAGGAUAUAUAUGUGAAAAUAUUGUGAACUGGAAAACCUAGAAGAAACAGAUAAAUUCCUGGACACAUUCAACCUACCAAGAUUGAACCAUGAAGAAACAGAAAAGCUGAACAGAACAAUAACAAGCAAUGAGAUUGAAGCAGUAAUAAAAUAUCACCCAUCAAAGAAAAGUCAAGGACCUGAUGGCUUCACUGCUGAAUUCCACCAAACAUUUAAAGAACUAAUACCAAUUCUACUCAAACUAUUCCAAAAAAUUGAAGAGGAGGGAAUACUUCCAAAGUCAUUAUCCAAGGCCAGAACUACAUUGAUACAAAAGCCAGAUAAGGACACAAACAAAAAAAGAAAGCUACAGGCCAAGAUCCCUGAUGAACAUAAAUGCAAAAGUUCUCGACAAAAUACUAUCAUACGAAAUUCAGCAACACAUCAAAAAGAUUAUUCACCAUUGAUCAAGUGGAAUUCAUCCCAGGAACGCAAGGAUGGUUCAACAUACACAAAUCAAUAAAUGUGAUACAUCACAUCAACAGAUAUAGUUGGGAUCAGUGCCCUGGUUACAUAAUCAAAAAUGCCUUCCCAAGUCUCACCUCAUUCUUACCUCUCCUAGGACCUUUGUUAGCUAUUUUGUUAUUACUAAUCUUUGGCCCUUGUUUGAUUAACCUCUUAGUAAAGUUUGUGUCUUUUAGAUUACAAUAGUUCCAGGUAAAGACAAUGCUGGCACAAGGCUUCCAAUCCAUCCUGCCUACUGACCAGGAGAAUUAAAAUGUUCUGCCUAUGGGCCCCUUAGAUCAGGUAUCCAGAGAUUUUUACUCCUCUGUUGCUUGGCCAGGGCCUACGCCCAUAACAUAAGCAGGAAGCAGUUACAGAAGACAGAUUUCUACCCUUCUGCAGCCCUGUUAAGAUUAAGGAGGAGUGUCUAAUCUCUGAGACAGGAAUGAGGUAGGAGGCAGGGCUUGACUCGAACUAGAUUGGAGACUGGCUGAAACAGGGAAGGGCUGAAAGCACCUCUCUGUAAGGCAUGCUCACCAGUAUCAUGACAGUUUACUCAUUCCCUGGCAACAACCUGGAAGUUACGACCUUUUUCUAGAAAUUUCUGAAUAAUCUACUCCUUAAUUUGCAUGUAAUUAAAAAUGGGUAUAAAUGUGACUGUGGAACUGUCCCUGAGCUGCUGCUCUGGACACACUGCUGAUGGGUGGCCCUGCUCUGCAGGAGCAGUCACAGAGCUGUAACACUGUGCCCUUGAUAAAGCUAUUUUUUCUACCACCAGCUAACACUUGAAUUUCUUCCUGGGGGACACCAA
RNAcentral lists this long non-coding RNA (2124 nucleotides) under Homo sapiens (human). Its description in RNAcentral is "HSALNT0219339". The record is from RNAcentral. Lineage: Eukaryota; Metazoa; Chordata; Mammalia; Primates; Hominidae.